RNAcentral lists this ribosomal RNA (301 nucleotides) under uncultured bacterium. RNAcentral's name for it is "partial 16S ribosomal RNA". It matches the Rfam family "Bacterial small subunit ribosomal RNA", at positions 509 to 807 of the family's 1533-position model. The record is from RNAcentral.
CAGCCGCCGCGGUAAUACGAAGGUCCCGAGCGUUGUUCGGAAUCACUGGGCGUAAAGGGAGCGUAGGCGGCGUGGUAAGUCAGAUGUGAAAUCCCGGGGCUCAACCCCGGAACUGCAUCCGAUACUGCCGUGCUAGAGGAUUGGAGAGGUAGCUGGAAUUCUUGGUAUAGCAGUGAAAUGCGUGGAGAUCAAGAGGAACACUCGUGGCGAAAGCGAGCUACUGGACAAUAUCUGACGCUGAGGCUCGAAGGCCAGGGUAGCGAAAGGGAUUAGAUACCCCAGUAGUCCCUGUCUCUUAUAC